Molecule: ribosomal RNA, 556 nt
Filed under: Jaaginema sp. C129
Lineage: Bacteria; Bacillati; Cyanobacteriota; Cyanophyceae; Leptolyngbyales; Leptolyngbyaceae
Description: bacterial SSU rRNA
Rfam family: Bacterial small subunit ribosomal RNA
Source: RNAcentral
GAACGGCUGCUAACACCCGAUGUGCCGAGAGGUGAAAUAUUUAUAGCCUGGAGAUGAGCUCGCGUCUGAUUAGCUAGUUGGUGGGGUAAGAGCCUACCAAGGCGACGAUCAGUAGCUGGUCUGAGAGGAUGAUCAGCCACACUGGAACUGAGACACGGUCCAGACUCCUACGGGAGGCAGCAGUGGGGAAUUUUCCGCAAUGGGCGCAAGCCUGACGGAGCAAGACCGCGUGGGGGAUGAAGGUUUGUGGAUUGUAAACCCCUUUUGAUUGGGAAGAAUACUGACGGUACCAAUCGAAUAAGCCUCGGCUAACUCCGUGCCAGCAGCCGCGGUAAUACGGAGGAGGCAAGCGUUAUCCGGAAUUAUUGGGCGUAAAGCGUCCGUAGGUGGUUUAGUAAGUCUGCUGUCAAAGCGCGGGGCUUAACUCCGUAAAGGCAGUGGAAACUACUAGACUUGAGUGCGGUAGGGGUAGAGGGAAUUCCCAGUGUAGCGGUGAAAUGCGUAGAUAUUGGGAAGAACACCGGUGGCGAAAGCGCUCCUACUGGGCCGUAACUGA